Molecule: non-coding RNA, 175 nt
Organism: Vicia faba (fava bean)
Lineage: Eukaryota; Viridiplantae; Streptophyta; Magnoliopsida; Fabales; Fabaceae
Source: the annotation of a GenBank genome assembly
AUGGCUUCGAUUUGCGAUUGGGGAAACGAAGUAGCAGCACCGAUGUCAAAAAUAAAAACCCUAGUCACGCAACCAGAAUGGAAACCAGUGUAUUUCUUAACUUAUAUAGGAGGCUCAAAACUCAACCCUAUGCUUUCAAUUCUCAAUAUUACUUCUUUUUUCGUCUUUUUUUUUU